CCCUCGAUAGCUCAGUUGGAAGAGCGCGAGACUGUAAUUGGAUAAGGCAUCUUGAGGUCGCUGGUUCGAUCCCGGCUCGAGGGA
Molecule: transfer RNA, 84 nt
Filed under: Phakopsora pachyrhizi
Lineage: Eukaryota; Fungi; Basidiomycota; Pucciniomycetes; Pucciniales; Phakopsoraceae
Description: tRNA-Tyr
Rfam family: tRNA
About the family: Transfer RNA (tRNA) molecules are approximately 80 nucleotides in length. Their secondary structure includes four short double-helical elements and three loops (D, anti-codon, and T loops).
Source: RNAcentral